RNAcentral lists this unclassified non-coding RNA (279 nucleotides) under uncultured fungus. Its description in RNAcentral is "partial contains 5.8S ribosomal RNA, internal transcribed spacer 2, and large subunit ribosomal RNA". The stretch from base 1 to 52 matches the Rfam family "5.8S ribosomal RNA", at positions 103 to 154 of the family's 154-position model. Lineage: Eukaryota; Fungi. The record is from RNAcentral.
AACGCACAUUGCGCCCGCCAGUAUUCUGGCGGGCAUGCCUGUCUGAGCGUCAUUUCGACCCUCGCGCCCCGCGGACGUGCAAGUCCGCCGGGGGGCGGUGUUGGAGGCCGGCCCACCACACCCGGUGGGCCGCCCCCGAAAUGCAGUGGCGACCGCGCCGUGGCAGACCCCUGCGUAGUACACCAACUCGCGGGAAGGCGCCCGGGACGGCCCGCCGUAAAACCCCCAACCCAUCACAAGGUUGACCUCAGAUCAGGUAGGAAUACCCGCUGAACUUAA